GACGAACGCUGGCGGCGUGCUUAACACAUGCAAGUCGAACGGAAAGGCCUGCUUUCCCUUGUGGAUUGCGGGUACUCGAGUGGCGAACGGGUGAGUAACACGUGAGUGAUCUGCCCCCAACUUGGGUAUAAGCCUGGGAAACUGGGUCUAAUUCCCGAUAGGACUGCAGGGUGGUGCCUGUGGUGGAAAACGAUUUUCUAGUGGUUGGGGAUGAGCUCGCGGCCUAUCAGCUUGUUGGUGGGGUAAUGGCCGACCAAGGCGGCGACGGGUAGCCGGCCUGGGAGGGGGGACAGCGACAUUGGGACUGGGAUACGGCCCAGACGCCUACGGGAGGCAGCAGUGGGGAAUAUUGCACAAUGGGCGGAAGCCUGAUGCAGCGACGCCGCGUGGGAGAUGACGGCCUUCGGGUUGUAAACUCCUUUCGACCGCGAGGAAGCCACCUGGUUGGAAGGGUGGUGACGGUAGUGGUAGAAGAAGCACCGGCUAACUACGUG
RNAcentral lists this ribosomal RNA (494 nucleotides) under uncultured bacterium. RNAcentral's name for it is "partial 16S ribosomal RNA". It matches the Rfam family "Bacterial small subunit ribosomal RNA", at positions 28 to 507 of the family's 1533-position model. The record is from RNAcentral.